CUUGAUUUCGUUUCGCUGUUUACCGUGUCGGUUUUUCAAUUGUCUUACAAUUCAAUUAUACGUUGAAACGUCUCUUAAGCUUAAUUAAAGACAUUUCACAUUAAACCCGGAUUUAUAUAAAACACCAGGUAAGUAAUUAAUAUACAUUUCGGUUAAGUCGAAAUCUCCGAAUGCCUUGCCCUUUUAUGUGUACGAAAUAUACCGUAAUUAAUUGAGUUUAAUUGAUUAUAGCAGUCACAUAAAAAUGAUAAUUAAUUAGUGAACUCAGGUGAAUGUCGCAAACCGUUUCUGCGUGGUCCCUUUCGCUUUGUAUCGACGAUCGUUGUCUACGUGUAUAUUGGGGUAAAUCUGGACAAGUGCACCCGAAAGAUAUGCCUCUGUUUAUACGUUAUAUAGGAAAACAGAAAUUCACUUAUAAUGAUAGAAAAACCAAAAAGAUUACUGUACUCUGUCGUUCUGUUUAACCACACAAAGAACCGACAACCUUGUGGUUAGUGAUACGAGAACAAUGAUACAGUGGAACGGUGCCAAGGGGACAGGAUUAGGGAGUUGGAGGCAAGCAUCUUGCAUGAAGCGGAAAUGUGAGGAAGUGGAGUGAUAUAGAGAUGUAGCUUGGUUUGGUGUGGUAAAGUGUGUGAGAAGUUUUCUUGUUAAAAGUGGGUGAAACACACUGCUUCUAGAACUCAGUUGCACAUUUACGUGGGUACUACUAGCGAACAGUGGUCCCGGUGCGCGCACUCGCGCAUCUACGCUAGCUAGUCGUAAGUAGUCGAUCCAAGAACGACUUUUUAACCCUAUCCUUAGUCUGUUUAAAAUGUUAGAUAAUAUCUGAAGGUGGAGGAGCCGAUGCCUAUGAAUAUGUAGACAUUACCUCAAGGUUGUAGAAUAUAAUUUUAAUAACAAAAUAGAAAGUAACUCAUGAGGUAAAAAUUUAUAUCCACAGUUUAUCCUUAUAAAAACAUACUAACAUUUCUAUUAUUGAAUCUCUCCUUUUAAACUAUUUUCUUUAUUAUAUAUUGUUUCUAUAUCAUUUCAGAACAUCAGACGUCUGUGGCAUGAACGGAUUUCUACUGGAGUAACAUCAAGAAUAUUAAUAAUCUUUGAAAGACUGAAGGAAGAUGUGAUAAAUAAU
RNAcentral lists this long non-coding RNA (1132 nucleotides) under Octopus vulgaris (common octopus). Lineage: Eukaryota; Metazoa; Mollusca; Cephalopoda; Octopoda; Octopodidae. The record is from RNAcentral.